UACGGGGGGAGCAAGCGUUGUUCGGAUUUACUGGGCGUAAAGGGCGCGUAGGCGGCCACCGCAAGUCGACUGUGAAAUCUCUGGGCUUAACCCAGAACGGUCAGCCGAUACUGCGGGGCUAGAGUGCAGAAGGGGCAACUGGAAUUCUCGGUGUAGCGGUGAAAUGCGUAGAUAUCGGGAGGAACACCAGUGGCGAAGGCGGCUACCUGGCCCACUCUUGACGCUGAGGCGCGAAAGCUAGGGGAGCAAACGGG
This 254-nucleotide ribosomal RNA is filed under the name uncultured bacterium. RNAcentral describes it as "partial 16S ribosomal RNA". It matches the Rfam family "Bacterial small subunit ribosomal RNA", at positions 524 to 776 of the family's 1533-position model. The record is from RNAcentral.